UGUCACUGAUAAAUCUAUAUUUUAACAUAUUAUUAAUUCAGACAGAUUUCCACAACACUGGAAACAAAAUAACAACUGUUCAUAUUCUUGAUCACUUGCAAACAUGUUGGUUUUCUGCACAUUUUUGUGAAGUAUACAGACUUGAAUAUGGUACAUUCAGAUUUUCCAAAGUAGAACUGCAAUACCAAUGUGGGCACAUUCGAGACAACAAGCUAGGCGUACUAGCUAAAGCUGGGACUAUAUUUUCUGCAACUGUAAGUCCGCUCAGGUCCCAAUGAUGUAAAUUUAGUGUGUGGGUCCGUGUGGAUGUCUGCACACCUGGCUGUUUUCUGUAACCUCACUGAAUUUACAUUGCAAUGCAUGAACUACGCAUGCUCACCAAACUAUCUGCAAAUCUGAUGUCUGAUUAAACCCACAAAUCAUUGUUUACCGAAGCUGUAUCACACGUAAAAAUGUGCACAUCAGUCUCAGUUUAAAGAAACUCUCACAAACUCUGCUGAUGUGAUGCUGCAAGAAUUUAUAACAAGUGAAGGAGGUGCUAUGACACACAAUCAGCAGUAGGCAGAUGCUUAGACUUCUUUUGGUCUGAAAAAUCCCAAGUCACGUUCAGAGACAUCAGGACAACAUAAGACUGGGAUUCAGACACAUCGUAGAUCUACUCGACUUUAACAGCUGUACUGUUUCAGAGACGUCAGUAUAUUAUGUAAGUAUUAUCCAUCACUGACAGAGAAUGAAAAUAAACAAAAUAUGUGAAAGUGGAAUUUGAGAGCUGUGUGCACGCAAAGUGUGCUCUAUCGUGUGCACCAAUCUCUGUGCACAAACUACUGUUUAUUAUCAGUUCGUGUCCUGUGUGUGUGUCAUGUAAUGAGCGACAACAGAGCCUGUCCUACCAACACUCCACCUUAACUUCCAUUAAAAUAUCGACGACAGAAAAAUGCAGGAUUCAGCUCUUAACAUUCGGAGGUGACCAGCUUCACACAACAGAGUUUCUCAUCCAGAUCAAGCUCACCGAAUCUGCUAAUACAGUGUAAGACUCUCCAUUUUCCUCUUAAACGUUUCCUCUUUUCGGUUGGAGUCCAUAACAAACAGUGGGAGGGACUUUGAACCCAUUUAUUUGUCUACAUCCAUGCCAGGUCCAGCAAAACUUAAGCUGCAGGGAGUGGGAGCCACACGCUUGCCAACCUCGGCCCAAAGCCUUGGCAGGGCACUAACAGCUGUAAGCCGCCCCCCUGUGGUUCUGGCAUUUCUAAUAAAUCAAUGAGUGAAGAAAAUUCACUGAGCACUCUGUCCUCUCUGAUCCCGGGCCUCCUUAGGGCAACUAUCGCAGCCACAACCAGCGCAAAAGCCUUAAGACGCCACAUUUUUACGACAAUGUAGAUGAUGAAACACCCAAAUGCUGCGGUUUUUACACUGAGGGCCACUAUUCUUUUUGAAGAGACUUCUUCUUAUACCCAGCCAUGUUGCUGAACGGUCACCAAUUAAACUAAUUAGGUAUGUUAUGUUGCACCAGCAUUACAUAACCUGUCCCCUGCUUCCUGGAUGUGUUACUCACAUUAAAUUCAAAAUGAUCCUUUUUUGUUUAAGACAAUCCAAAAAUCUCAGUUUCAUUUUUAUGUUAUUUUCAAACAAACAUGGGCUAAUGCAUUUCUGAAAAUCAGCACAUUCUGCUUUCUUUCUACUUGAGUUGCUGUUACUAGAGCAGAACAAAGUAAACAACACUCAAGCCCAGAGAUCUGUCAGAUUAUUCUCC
This is a long non-coding RNA of Pelmatolapia mariae (spotted tilapia), 1750 nucleotides long. RefSeq lists it as uncharacterized. The transcript has 3 exons. The record is from RefSeq and is a predicted model, not a curated record. Lineage: Eukaryota; Metazoa; Chordata; Actinopteri; Cichliformes; Cichlidae.